Molecule: ribosomal RNA, 577 nt
Filed under: Amanita vaginata
Lineage: Eukaryota; Fungi; Basidiomycota; Agaricomycetes; Agaricales; Amanitaceae
Description: eukaryotic LSU rRNA
Rfam family: 5.8S ribosomal RNA (bases 195-348)
Source: RNAcentral
GCGGAAGGAUCAUUAAUGGAUUGAAACUCUGGCAGAUGGUUGUUGCUGGCUCUCACUGGGAGGGCACUGUGCACGCCCUCUUGCUCGUUUCCUUCUUUAUCACCUGUGCACUAUUUUGUAGACUCUAGUGUCUAUGUAUUUUUAUCAUAAAUACAAUGUUAAGAAUGUAUUCAUAAAAGGUGUAUAUAUCAUACAACUUUCAACAAUGGAUCUCUUGGCUCUUGCAUCGAUGAAGAACGCAGCGAAAUGCGAUAAGUAAUGUGAAUUGCAGAAUUCAGUGAAUCAUCGAAUCUUUGAACGCACCUUGCGCUCCUUGGUAUUCCAAGAAGCAUGCCUGUUUGAGUGUCAUUAAUAUCUCAAAAAUGCUUUACUUUAGUCAAGUGUUUUUGGAUUUUGGGAGUUUAUUGCUGGCUUGUCUGUCAGCUCUCCUUAAAAGUAUUAGCUUUUGGCUCUUCUCUUUUAACUGGUAUGAUAGUUAUCUAUGCCUGUAAAGGGAGAAGUGGUAAAGCCUCUAAUAAUCCUGUGACAUGUUGACCUCAAAUCAGGUAGGAUUACCCGCUGAACUUAAGCAUAUCAA